Molecule: microRNA precursor, 94 nt
Filed under: Canis lupus familiaris (dog)
Lineage: Eukaryota; Metazoa; Chordata; Mammalia; Carnivora; Canidae
Also listed under: 1 other name
Description: mir-8799 microRNA precursor family
Rfam family: mir-8799 microRNA precursor family
Source: Rfam by way of RNAcentral
GGUGGGAGCGCAGGAUCCUGGACUGUGUCCCCUAGCGCCCUGGGCUCCAGGGCCUGCACCACUGGAAUCACGCUCCCUGGGUGCACAGCCCCCU